CCUACGGGAGGCAGCAGUGAGGAAUAUUGGUCAAUGGGCGAGAGCCUGAACCAGCCAAGUCGCGUGAGGGAGUACUGCCCUAUGGGUUGUAAACCUCUUUUGUCGGGGAGCAAAAGCCGGACGUGUCCGGCUGUUAGAGUACCCGAAGAAAAAGCAUCGGCUAACUCCGUGGCAGCAGCCGCGGUAAUACGGGGGAUGCGAGCGUUAUCCGGAUUUAUUGGGUUUAAAGGGUGCGCAGGCGGAUUGUUAAGGCAGCGGUAAAAUCGUGGGGCUCAACCCCAUCCAGCAGUUGAAACUGGGGAUCUAGAGUGUGCGAGAGGUAUGCGGAAGGCGUGGUGUAGCGGUGAAAUGCAUAGAUAUCACGCAGAACCCCGAUUGCGAAGGCAGCAUACUGGUGCACAACUGACGCUCAGGCACGAAAGCGUGGGUAUCGAACAGGAUUAGAUACCCGGGUAGUC
RNAcentral lists this ribosomal RNA (458 nucleotides) under uncultured bacterium. RNAcentral's name for it is "partial 16S ribosomal RNA". It matches the Rfam family "Bacterial small subunit ribosomal RNA", at positions 338 to 795 of the family's 1533-position model. The record is from RNAcentral.